UACGUAGGCAGCAAGCGUUGUUCGGAGUUACUGGGCGUAAAGCGUGCGUAGGCGGUUUCGCAAGUCCGGUGUGAAAUCUCCCGGCUCAACCGGGAGGGUGCGCCGGAAACUGCGAGGCUGGAGUGCGGGAGAGGAGAGCGGAAUUCCUGGUGUAGCGGUGAAAUGCGUAGAUAUCAGGAGGAACACCGGUGGUGAAGACGGCUCUCUGGACCGUGACUGACGCUGAGGCACGAAAGCGUGGGGAGCAAACAGG
This 253-nucleotide ribosomal RNA is filed under the name uncultured bacterium. RNAcentral's name for it is "partial 16S ribosomal RNA". It matches the Rfam family "Bacterial small subunit ribosomal RNA", at positions 524 to 776 of the family's 1533-position model. The record is from RNAcentral.